RNAcentral lists this ribosomal RNA (292 nucleotides) under uncultured bacterium. RNAcentral describes it as "partial 16S ribosomal RNA". It matches the Rfam family "Bacterial small subunit ribosomal RNA", at positions 505 to 796 of the family's 1533-position model. The record is from RNAcentral.
GUGCCAGCCGCCGCGGUAAAACGUAGGAGACGAGCGUUAUCCGGAAUUACUGGGCGUAAAGCGCGUGUAGGCGGACGGUCAAGUCUGUCGUGAAAGCUCCCGGCUAAACCGGGAGAGGUCGAUGGAGACUGGCGGUCUGGAGUGCGAGAGAGGGCAGUGGAAUUCCGGGUGUAGUGGUGAAAUGCGUAGAUAUCCGGAGGAACACCAGUGGCGAAGGCGGCUGCCUGGCUCGCAACUGACGCUCAGACGCGAAAGCAUGGGGAGCGAACGGGAUUAGAAACCCCCGUAGUCC